Molecule: ribosomal RNA, 497 nt
Filed under: uncultured bacterium
Lineage: Bacteria
Description: partial 16S ribosomal RNA
Rfam family: Bacterial small subunit ribosomal RNA
Source: RNAcentral
GAUGAACGCUGGCGGCGUGCCUAAUACAUGCAAGUCGAGCGAACAGACGAGGAGUUUGCUCCUCUGACGUUAGCGGCGGACGGGUGAGUAACACGUGGAUAACCUACCUAUAAGACUGGGAUAACUUCGGGAAACCGGAGCUAAUACCGGAUAAUAUAUUGAACCGCAUGGUUCAAUAGUGAAAGACGGUUUUGCUGUCACUUAUAGAUGGAUCCGCGCCGCAUUAGCUAGUUGGUAAGGUAACGGCUUACCAAGGCAACGAUGCGUAGCCGACCUGAGAGGGUGAUCGGCCACACUGGAACUGAGACACGGUCCAGACUCCUACGGGAGGCAGCAGUAGGGAAUCUUCCGCAAUGGGCGAAAGCCUGACGGAGCAACGCCGCGUGAGUGAUGAAGGUCUUCGGAUCGUAAAACUCUGUUAUUAGGGAAGAACAAAUGUGUAAGUAACUAUGCACGUCUUGACGGUACCUAAUCAGAAAGCCACGGCUAACUACGUG